CCUGGUAGCGGGGGAGUAACUAUUGGAAACGAAUAGCUAAUACCGCAUAAUAUUGAUUAUUGCAUGAUAAUUGAUUGAAAGAUGCUAUUGCAUCACUACCAGAUGGACCUGCGUUGUAUUAGCUAGUAGGUGAGGUAACGGCUCACCUAGGCGACGAUACAUAGCCGACCUGAGAGGGUGAUCGGCCACACUGGGACUGAGACACGGCCCAG
Molecule: ribosomal RNA, 212 nt
Filed under: uncultured bacterium
Lineage: Bacteria
Description: partial 16S ribosomal RNA
Rfam family: Bacterial small subunit ribosomal RNA
Source: RNAcentral